This is a long non-coding RNA of Zalophus californianus (California sea lion), 924 nucleotides long. RefSeq lists it as uncharacterized. Lineage: Eukaryota; Metazoa; Chordata; Mammalia; Carnivora; Otariidae. The record is from RefSeq and is a predicted model, not a curated record. The transcript has 3 exons.
CGCCAAGAGUGGUCUACGCCAGUGGCACCUGCGCCUCGCUGCUGAUUCGGCUCUCCUCGAAGCAACCUCUGAUGCGCAGCACAUCCCUGCCCAACGUCUAUUUCAGAGAGGAAAGAAUGGAGGGUGUUUGAUUCAGUGGAUGAAGAUGCAAUGACUUUGAUGGGAAGUGAGAUGCCUGCAUAGUAACAUGAAGCAGGGGACAAAAAAUUCCUUAAAGAAAUGAGGAAAAAAUAACAGGUAUUUUAACAGGGAGAUUUUGGUGCUGGGACUCUGACCAAGGCAUCCAGACACUUCAUCAUAGAGUAAACCAUCGUUGCCAACUCACUUGUUCUCAUGCUGUUGGCCGGAGGGCCAUGGUAGCCCAAAGCCAGGAUUUGCUUCCUUCACAGUGUUGACCAGCACAAUGCUAUACAUCUAAAAUUUGUUUCCAGCUUUCAAGAAGGCGGAUUUCUUACAACCACCAGAAUUCUUAUCUUCUCUUGAGAAACCAGAAGUACAGCAACCCUAAGACCACUUUCUUGAUUAAAAUGAUCAACUGGAGCUGAUUGUUCAGAAAGGAAUACUUCUUCUCCAGCUCAGCACAGCGUCUGUCAAUCCCUGGGUCUUCCCCCACACUGAGGCUGUCAGUCACCUACCUGUCCAUGUACGAAAGCCUGGCUGACGUCACUCAUUCACAUUACUCCUGGCUGCCACUGGCAACCCCUCUGACCCCUUACCAUAGUGAAGUCAGUCUACUAUCCUUGUCUGCUGUUACCAGCACUGCGUCAAGUGUUUUACUUCAAGGUCCCUUUCACCCUCCCAGACAAGAACAUUUUUGUUUGCUUCCUUUGUUCUGAGGGAAUUGUUUCUGCCAUUGGUUACCCUUUCUUCUCUGGGACCAUUACUUGUCCAAAUAUUUUGUGUCUAUCUUAAUGUCUUUCAUGU